This 301-nucleotide ribosomal RNA is filed under the name uncultured bacterium. RNAcentral describes it as "partial 16S ribosomal RNA". It matches the Rfam family "Bacterial small subunit ribosomal RNA", at positions 509 to 807 of the family's 1533-position model. The record is from RNAcentral.
CAGUAGCCGCGGGAAUACGAAGGGGGCUAGCGUUGCUCGGAAUGACUGGGCGUAAAGGGCGCGUAGGCGGCUGACACAGUCAGAUGUGAAAUUCCUGGGCUCAACCUGGGGACUGCAUUUGAGACGUGUUGGCUUGAGUGGAGAAGAGGGUCGUGGAAUUUCCAGUGUAGAGGUGAAAUUCGUAGAUAUUGGGAAGAACACCGGUGGCGAAGGCGGCAACCUGGUCCAUGACUGACGCUGAGGCGCGAAAGCGUGGGGAGCAAACAGGAUUAGAUACCCGAGUAGUCCCUGUCUCUUAUAC